UGGGGAAUUUUGGACAAUGGGCGAAAGCCUGAUCCAGCAAUGCCGCGUGUGUGAAGAAGGCCUUCGGGUUGUAAAGCACUUUUGUCCGGAAAGAAAUCCUUGGCUCUAAUACAGUCGGGGGAUGACGGUACCGGAAGAAUAAGCACCGGCUAACUACGUGCCAGCAGCCGCGGUAAUACGUAGGGUGCAAGCGUUAAUCGGAAUUACUGGGCGUAAAGCGUGCGCAGGCGGUUUGCUAAGACCGAUGUGAAAUCCCCGGGCUCAACCUGGGAACUGCAUUGGUGACUGGCAGGCUAGAGUAUGGCAGAGGGGGGUAGAAUUCCACGUGUAGCAGUGAAAUGCGUAGAGAUGUGGAGGAAUACCGAUGGCGAAGGCAGCCCCCUGGGCCAAUACUGACGCUCAUGCACGAAAGCGUGGGGAGCAAACAGGAUUAGAUACCCUGGUAGUCCACGCCC
Molecule: ribosomal RNA, 455 nt
Filed under: uncultured bacterium
Lineage: Bacteria
Description: partial 16S ribosomal RNA
Rfam family: Bacterial small subunit ribosomal RNA
Source: RNAcentral